GACGAACGCUGGCGGCGUGCUUAACACAUGCAAGUCGAACGGUGAAGCGAGGGCUUGCACUCGUGGAUCAGUGGCGAACGGGUGAGUAACACGUGAGUAACCUGCCCAUCACUCUGGGAUAAGCACUGGAAACGGUGUCUAAUACUGGAUACGACCAACCCUUGCAUGGGGUGUUGGUGGAAAGAUUUGUCGGUGAUGGAUGGACUCGCGGCCUAUCAGCUUGUUGGCGGGGGUAAUGGCACACCAAGCCGACGACGGGUAGCCGGCCUGAGAGGGUGACCGGCCACACUGGGACUGAGAGACGGCCCAGACUCCUACGGGAGGCAGCAGUGGGGAAUAUUGCACAAUGGGCGAAAGCCUGAUGCAGCGACGCCGCGUGAGGGAUGACGGCCUUCGGGUGGUAAACCUCUUUCAGCAGGGAAGAAGCGAAAGUGACGGUACCUGCAGAAGAAGCACCGGCUAACUACGUG
RNAcentral lists this ribosomal RNA (470 nucleotides) under uncultured bacterium. RNAcentral describes it as "partial 16S ribosomal RNA". It matches the Rfam family "Bacterial small subunit ribosomal RNA", at positions 28 to 507 of the family's 1533-position model. The record is from RNAcentral.